RNAcentral lists this transfer RNA (75 nucleotides) under Pseudomonas phage PE09. RNAcentral describes it as "tRNA-Cys". It matches the Rfam family "tRNA". From Rfam's summary of the family: Transfer RNA (tRNA) molecules are approximately 80 nucleotides in length. Their secondary structure includes four short double-helical elements and three loops (D, anti-codon, and T loops). The record is from RNAcentral. Lineage: Duplodnaviria; Heunggongvirae; Uroviricota; Caudoviricetes; Vandenendeviridae. RNAcentral also lists the same sequence under 2 other names.
GUGUCUUUGUCCGAGCGGCUGAGGUAGCGGAUUGCAAACCCGUUUAGGUUGGUUCAACUCCAACAAGAUACUCCA